This 484-nucleotide ribosomal RNA is filed under the name uncultured bacterium. RNAcentral describes it as "partial 16S ribosomal RNA". It matches the Rfam family "Bacterial small subunit ribosomal RNA", at positions 30 to 507 of the family's 1533-position model. The record is from RNAcentral.
AUUGAACGCUGGCGGCAGGCCUAACACAUGCAAGUCGAGCGGAUGAAGGGAGCUUGCUCCUGGAUUCAGCGGCGGACGGGUGAGUAAUGCCUAGGAAUCUGCCUGGUAGUGGGGGAUAACGUCCGGAAACGGGCGCUAAUACCGCAUACGUCCUGAGGGAGAAAGUGGGGGAUCUUCGGACCUCACGCUAUCAGAUGAGCCUAGGUCGGAUUAGCUAGUUGGUGGGGUAAAGGCCUACCAAGGCGACGAUCCGUAACUGGUCUGAGAGGAUGAUCAGUCACACUAGAACUGAGACACGGUCCAGACUCCUACGGGAGGCAGCAGUGGGGAAUAUUGGACAAUGGGCGAAAGCCUGAUCCAGCCAUGCCGCGUGUGUGAAGGAGGUCUUCGGAUUGUAAAGCACUUUAAGUUGGGAGGAAGGGCAGUAAGUUAAUACCUUGCUGUUUUGACGUUACCAACAGAAUAAGCACCGGCUAACUUCGUG